This 72-nucleotide transfer RNA is filed under the name Camelus bactrianus (Bactrian camel). It matches the Rfam family "tRNA". From Rfam's summary of the family: Transfer RNA (tRNA) molecules are approximately 80 nucleotides in length. Their secondary structure includes four short double-helical elements and three loops (D, anti-codon, and T loops). RNAcentral also lists the same sequence under 1 other name. The record is from Rfam by way of RNAcentral. Lineage: Eukaryota; Metazoa; Chordata; Mammalia; Artiodactyla; Camelidae.
GAGGGCACAGGUCAGUGGUAGAGCACAUGCCUAAUAAGCAUGAGGUCCUGGGUUCAAUCCCCAGCACCUCCA